Molecule: ribosomal RNA, 759 nt
Filed under: Rhizophagus clarus
Lineage: Eukaryota; Fungi; Glomeromycota; Glomeromycetes; Glomerales; Glomeraceae
Description: eukaryotic LSU rRNA
Rfam family: Eukaryotic large subunit ribosomal RNA
Source: RNAcentral
GCAUAUCAAUAAGCGGAGGAAAAGAAACUAACAAGGAUUCCCCUAGUAACGGCGAGUGAAGAGGGAAGAGCUCAAAUUUUAAAUCUGCCUUGUUUCAGGGUCGAGUUGUAAUUUGAAGAAGCGUUUUCUUGGGCUCGCGGCCGGUAGAAGUUCUUUGGAACAGGACAUCAUAGGGGGUGACAAUCCCGUCUGCGACCGGUCGUGCGUUCAUCUACGAUACGCUUUCAAAGAGUCGAGUUGUUUGGGAUUGCAGCUCCAAAUGGGUGGUAAACAUCACCUAAGGCUAAAUAUUGGCGAGAGACCGAUAGCGAACAAGUACCGUGAGGGAAAGAUGAAAAGAACUUUGAAAAGAGAGUUAAACAGUACGUGAAAUUGUUGAAAGGGAAACGAUCGAAGUCAGUCGUGCUGGCGCGAAAUCAACCCUCUCAUCGGGAGAUCACAUGUUGUGGCGAGCCUCAAAACCGCCACAGCGUGUGACCUCACGAUGAGGGGGAGCACUUUCGUGUCCGCUGGUUAACAUCAAUUUCGAACGUCAUAAAAAGGCUGGAGGGAUGUGGCUCCUUCGGGAGUGUUAUAACCUUUAGCGGAAUGUGGUGGUCGGGAUUGAGGAUUGCAACGAAUACCUUUAGGGCUGUUCCACCUGGCCUCUCUUUGGUAUCCUGGUGACGACAGCUUGCUGACGUCGUUAGGACUCGCCUUUGAACAGGCUAGAGUGUGAGCAAAUUCGUUAAGGAUGUUGACGUAAUGGCUUUAAACGAC